This 230-nucleotide ribosomal RNA is filed under the name uncultured bacterium. RNAcentral's name for it is "partial 16S ribosomal RNA". It matches the Rfam family "Bacterial small subunit ribosomal RNA", at positions 103 to 334 of the family's 1533-position model. The record is from RNAcentral.
CGGGUGAGUAACGCGUGGAUAACCUGCCUCACACUGGGGAUAACAGUUAGAAAUGACUGCUAAUACCGCAUGAGCGCACAGUACCGCAUGGUACGGUGUGAAAAACUCCGGUGGUGUGAGAUGGAUCCGCGUCUGAUUAGCCAGUUGGCGGGGUAACGGCCCACCAAAGCGACGAUCAGUAGCCGACCUGAGAGGGUGACCGGCCACAUUGGGACUGAGACACGGCCCAA